GAUGAACGCUGGCGGCAGGCCUAACACAUGCAAGUCGAACGGUAAAAGGAGCUUGCUCCUUUGAGUCCGGCGCACGGGCGCGUAACGCGGAUGCAACCUACCUUGUACAUGGGAAUAGCGCAGAGAAAUUGGGAUGAAUGCCUCAUACUAUAUAACGUUGGCAUGGCAGGGAGGUGAAAGUUCCAACGGUACAAGAUCAGCUGGCGUACGAUGAGUUAGUUGAUACGGUAACGGCUGACCAAGACGUCGAUGGGAAGGGGGCCUGAGAGGGAGGACCCCCACACUGGGACUGAGACACGGCCCAGACUCCUACGGGAGGCAGCAGUGAGGAAUAUUGGGCCAUGGUCGCAAGGCUGACCCAGCGACGCCGCGUGGAGGAAGACGGGCUUAUGGAUUGCAACCUGCUUUGACACAGGGAGAAACCCUCGGACGUGUGGGCGUUGACGGUAACGGUAGAAGAAGCACCGGCUAACUUCGUU
RNAcentral lists this ribosomal RNA (479 nucleotides) under uncultured bacterium. RNAcentral describes it as "partial 16S ribosomal RNA". It matches the Rfam family "Bacterial small subunit ribosomal RNA", at positions 28 to 507 of the family's 1533-position model. The record is from RNAcentral.